AACGAACGCUGGCGGCAUGCCUAACACAUGCAAGUCGAACGAGACCUUCGGGUCUAGUGGCGCACGGGUGCGUAACGCGUGGGAACCUGCCCUUAGGUUCGGAAUAACUCCCCGAAAGGGGUGCUAAUACCGGAUAAUGUCUUCGGACCAAAGAUUUAUCGCCUUUGGAUGGGCCCGCGUUGGAAUAGCUAGUUGGUAGGGUAAAAGCCUGCCAAGGCGACGAUCCAUAGCUGGUCUGAGAGGAUGAUCAGCGACACUGGGACUGAGACACGGCCCAGACUACUACGGGAGGCAGCAGUGGGGGAUAUUGGACAAUGGGCGAAAGCCUGAUCCAGCAAUGCCGCGUGAGUGAUGAAGGCCUUAGGGUUGUAAAGCUCUUUUACCCGGGAUGAUAAUGACAGUACCGGGAGAAUAAGCUCCGGCUAACUCCGUG
Molecule: ribosomal RNA, 433 nt
Filed under: uncultured bacterium
Lineage: Bacteria
Description: partial 16S ribosomal RNA
Rfam family: Bacterial small subunit ribosomal RNA
Source: RNAcentral